Molecule: ribosomal RNA, 264 nt
Filed under: uncultured bacterium
Lineage: Bacteria
Description: partial 16S ribosomal RNA
Rfam family: Bacterial small subunit ribosomal RNA
Source: RNAcentral
GUCCACGCCCUAAACUAUGUCAACUAGUUGUCGGGGAAGCAAUUCCUUGGUAACGAAGCUAACGCGUGAAGUUGACCGCCUGGGGAGUACGGUCGCAAGAUUAAAACUCAAAGGAAUUGACGGGGGCCCGCACAAGCGGUGUAUGAUGUGGAUUAAUUCGAUGCAACGCGAAAAACCUUACCUACCCUUGACAUGCCCGGAAGCCGGAUGAUAGUUCGGUGUGCUCGAAAGAGAGCCGGGACACAGGUGCUGCAUGGCUGUCGU